This 439-nucleotide ribosomal RNA is filed under the name uncultured bacterium. RNAcentral's name for it is "partial 16S ribosomal RNA". It matches the Rfam family "Bacterial small subunit ribosomal RNA", at positions 339 to 795 of the family's 1533-position model. The record is from RNAcentral.
CUAUGGGGUGCUGCAGUGAUGAAUAUUGCACAAUGGGGGGAACCCUGAUGCAGCAACGCCGCGUGGAGGAUGACGCAUUUCGGUGUGUAAACUCCUUUUAUAUGUCAAGAAAAUGACGGUAGCAUAUGAAUAAGCACCGGCUAACUCCGUGCCAGCAGCCGCGGUAAUACGGAGGGUGCAAGCGUUACUCGGAAUCACUGGGCGUAAAGGACGCGUAGGCGGGUUGGAAAGUCAGGUGUGAAAUCCUACAGCUUAACUGUAGAACUGCACUUGAAACUUCUAAUCUAGAGUAUGGGAGGGGGAGAUGGAAUUAGUGGUGUAGGGGUAAAAUCCGUAGAUAUCACUAGGAAUACCUAAAGCGAAGGCGAUCUCCUGGAACAUUACUGACGCUAAGGCGUGAAAGCGUGGGGAGCAAACAGGAUUAGAUACCCCAGUAGUC